This 501-nucleotide ribosomal RNA is filed under the name uncultured bacterium. RNAcentral's name for it is "partial 16S ribosomal RNA". It matches the Rfam family "Bacterial small subunit ribosomal RNA", at positions 29 to 523 of the family's 1533-position model. The record is from RNAcentral.
AUUGAACGCUGGCGGCACGCCUUACACAUGCAAGUCGAACGGCAGCACGGGUGCUUGCACCUGGUGGCGAGUGGCGAACGGGUGAGUAAUACAUCGGAACGUACCUUAUCGUGGGGGAUAACGCAGCGAAAGCUGUGCUAAUACCGCAUACGCCCUGAGGGGGAAAGCGGGGGAUCGAAAGACCUCGCGCGAUUAGAGCGGCCGAUGCCUGAUUAGCUUGUUGGUGGGGUAAAAGCCCACCAAGGCGACGAUCAGUAGCUGGUCUGAGAGGACGAUCAGCCACACUGGGACUGAGACACGGACCAGACUCCUACGGGAGGCAGCAGUGGGGAAUUUUGGACAAUGGGGGCAACCCUGAUCCAGCAAUGCCGCGUGAGUGAAGAAGGCCUUCGGGUUGUAAAGCUCUUUUGUCAGGGAAGAAACACCGGCUCUAACACAGUCCGGGAAUGACGGUACCUGAAGAAUAAGCACCGGCUAACUACGUGCCAGCCGCCGCAGUAA